This 1528-nucleotide ribosomal RNA is filed under the name Klebsiella pneumoniae. Its description in RNAcentral is "bacterial SSU rRNA". It matches the Rfam family "Bacterial small subunit ribosomal RNA". Lineage: Bacteria; Pseudomonadati; Pseudomonadota; Gammaproteobacteria; Enterobacterales; Enterobacteriaceae. The record is from RNAcentral.
AGAGUUUGAUCAUGGCUCAGAUUGAACGCUGGCGGCAGGCCUAACACAUGCAAGUCGAGCGGUAGCACAGAGAGCUUGCUCUCGGGUGACGAGCGGCGGACGGGUGAGUAAUGUCUGGGAAACUGCCUGAUGGAGGGGGAUAACUACUGGAAACGGUAGCUAAUACCGCAUAAUGUCGCAAGACCAAAGUGGGGGACCUUCGGGCCUCAUGCCAUCAGAUGUGCCCAGAUGGGAUUAGCUAGUAGGUGGGGUAACGGCUCACCUAGGCGACGAUCCCUAGCUGGUCUGAGAGGAUGACCAGCCACACUGGAACUGAGACACGGUCCAGACUCCUACGGGAGGCAGCAGUGGGGAAUAUUGCACAAUGGGCGCAAGCCUGAUGCAGCCAUGCCGCGUGUGUGAAGAAGGCCUUCGGGUUGUAAAGCACUUUCAGCGGGGAGGAAGGCGGUGAGGUUAAUAACCUCAUCGAUUGACGUUACCCGCAGAAGAAGCACCGGCUAACUCCGUGCCAGCAGCCGCGGUAAUACGGAGGGUGCAAGCGUUAAUCGGAAUUACUGGGCGUAAAGCGCACGCAGGCGGUCUGUCAAGUCGGAUGUGAAAUCCCCGGGCUCAACCUGGGAACUGCAUUCGAAACUGGCAGGCUAGAGUCUUGUAGAGGGGGGUAGAAUUCCAGGUGUAGCGGUGAAAUGCGUAGAGAUCUGGAGGAAUACCGGUGGCGAAGGCGGCCCCCUGGACAAAGACUGACGCUCAGGUGCGAAAGCGUGGGGAGCAAACAGGAUUAGAUACCCUGGUAGUCCACGCCGUAAACGAUGUCGAUUUGGAGGUUGUGCCCUUGAGGCGUGGCUUCCGGAGCUAACGCGUUAAAUCGACCGCCUGGGGAGUACGGCCGCAAGGUUAAAACUCAAAUGAAUUGACGGGGGCCCGCACAAGCGGUGGAGCAUGUGGUUUAAUUCGAUGCAACGCGAAGAACCUUACUUGGUCUUGACAUCCACAGAACUUUCCAGAGAUGGAUUGGUGCCUUCGGGAACUGUGAGACAGGUGCUGCAUGGCUGUCGUCAGCUCGUGUUGUGAAAUGUUGGGUUAAGUCCCGCAACGAGCGCAACCCUUAUCCUUUGUUGCCAGCGGUUCGGCCGGGAACUCAAAGGAGACUGCCAGUGAUAAACUGGAGGAAGGUGGGGAUGACGUCAAGUCAUCAUGGCCCUUACGACCAGGGCUACACACGUGCUACAAUGGCAUAUACAAAGAGAAGCGACCUCGCGAGAGCAAGCGGACCUCAUAAAGUAUGUCGUAGUCCGGAUUGGAGUCUGCAACUCGACUCCAUGAAGUCGGAAUCGCUAGUAAUCGUAGAUCAGAAUGCUACGGUGAAUACGUUCCCGGGCCUUGUACACACCGCCCGUCACACCAUGGGAGUGGGUUGCAAAAGAAGUAGGUAGCUUAACCUUCGGGAGGGCGCUUACCACUUUGUGAUUCAUGACUGGGGUGAAGUCGUAACAAGGUAACCGUAGGGGAACCUGCGGUUGGAUCACCU